AUGCCAGACUCCUACGGGAGGCAGCAGUGGGGGAUAUUGCACAAUGGGGGGAACCCUGAUGCAGCGACGCCGCGUGAGUGAAGAAGUAUUUCGGUAUGUAAAGCUCUAUCAGCAGGGAAGAAAAAAGACGGUACCUGACUAAGAAGCCCCGGCUAACUACGUGCCAGCAGCCGCGGUAAUACGUAGGGGGCAAGCGUUAUCCGGAUUUACUGGGUGUAAAGGGAGCGUAGACGGCAAUACAAGUCGGAAGUGAAAUACCCGGGCUCAACCUGGGAACUGCCUUUGAAACUGGCAAACUGGAGUGUGUGAGAGGAUAGUGGAAUUCCAGGUGUAGGAGUGAAAUCCGUAGAUAUCUGGAGGAACAUCAGUGGCGAAGGCGACUAUCUGGCACAUAACUGACGCUGAGGAGCGAAAGCGUGGGUAGCAAACAGGAUUAGAUACCCCGGUAAAA
This 451-nucleotide ribosomal RNA is filed under the name uncultured bacterium. Its description in RNAcentral is "partial 16S ribosomal RNA". It matches the Rfam family "Bacterial small subunit ribosomal RNA", at positions 328 to 793 of the family's 1533-position model. The record is from RNAcentral.